AGGGUGUUCUAGCCCAGGAGUGAGCUAUGGGAUCUAGCUCAGAGCCAUCCUAGGCCACUUACUUGAGAGAGAAGUAAUUGGUCAGGUCUGUCUGUAGCUGAUAAGUAUGGUGACAUGGAUACAAACUCCAGUUUGGGAAAUCUUAGCCUCAGAUUCCCAGGAGCUGAUGGACAGGCACGGCUCUGAAUUUGCACUGUUCUUGAGCUCUUCCCGGAGUGCCUGCUCAUGGCUGCUGGGCUGCGAGCCAUUCCUUUAUGUCUGUCUGAAUAUUACUGAUCUGUGUAUUUUUUUUUCUUGAAGCUUUGUUUGAUUCAAUGAUUGGCAGCCAGAUACCAGGAGACCCCUUUAUGUCCCAGAGAAUCCUGUCAUCAUCCUCUUUGCCAUUGCGCCAGCGUUCGGAUAAGCCCCCUUGGUACAGCAGUGGCCCCUCCAGUACUGUCUCCAGUGCAGGCCCAUCCUCCCCAACCUCUGUGGACAACUGCGCUCGUUUCAGCUUCACUGAGAAACUUUCCAUCAGUCCCCCCAAAAGUGAGGAGCAGCUGACUAGCCAGUCCCCUGAGCAAGAAGAGAGACAACCUCCAGGCAGAGGGCUUGAUGGGGAGGUGGGCAUGUCUGGGUUAUCGGUGGCGGAGCCAAGUGCCCCAGAGACCCUGACCUGGAAUAAGGGGCCAGAGCCAGGCAAGAUCCUGGAGCUCUGCAAGAAGGAGCUGGUGGAGGAGGACUCUAACCCAGAGGACAAGAGCAGGGUGGACCUGGAUGAAGAAGAAUCAGCUGGGGAAAUGUUAGAGCCAAGUAACACAGGGAACCCAAAGUGUGGUGCAGGGUCUGAUAUAAGGCUGGCUGGGGAGAGAGAGAGGCCAGGUGAGGGGUAUAUAGGGGGAAUGACUGGCCUGGAUCAGUCAGGGCUGUCCAAGGAGAUCUUGGUGCCCUGUGAAGAGGAGCUGCUGGGAGAGGUGUUGGACCCAGAGCAUAUGGGCGAGGAGCUGCUGGGGGACAGUGCUCUGUCAGGCCAGCUUCUGACUGGUCACCUGCAGCAGGUGCAGCCACUGCCUCCUGAGAAAAGCAUGGAGGAGCUGCAGCCGCUGUGUUGGGAGGAUCAGCAGAAUUAGUGGCUCACUGGACAGCACACUGCAAGUGCUUCUAGCCUGGAGGCAGCCCAGCUUCCUGCACAGCACCUCAUGCAGCUGGCUGUCCACAGCACAGAACAAGCCAUGUCCCAAGGCCACAGGACUCUGGGGUGUGGAAGAGUCUGCUCUGCUCCUCCACAAGCCAGCUCUUUGCCAUUCGGCAAGAGACAAUGCCCCAUCUGCCUUGUUAAAUUAAUAACAAAUGGAGUCUUGGUACUGGCAUGGCACCUCCAUGGAGCAGGGACAUAGGGCUGCAUUGGUGUUCCAAGGGCUGUAUGCUCGCUGGGACAGCAGAGUUAGAGGAUUGGUAUGGCCAAGGCUUUUGGGGUGCUAAGUCCAAAGGGGACAGAUGCUCCCUUGAGAUUUUUUUGGCCCAUAGCCUUCAGAGGAAGGUAUUCUGGGCCCAAAGUAAUUGGAUCCAUCACAACCACCAACCUCCUCUCUGUUCCUUCCUUCUUCCUCUCUCAAUUCCCACCACUGGCCACCAAGAACAGGUCCAGAGUCCAUGGCAGGAAGACUAGGAGGAGCAGAAAGCACUCUGAAUGAGUGUGGGUAGGACAGUAACGGGGGGAUCAGGUUCAAGAUUGCCACAUGCAAGAAAACAUCUCUUUGAUGUGGACUUGGAUGUUUUCCUGCUGGGCUGGGGCAGGCAGGCAGGAGCCUGGGGAUCCAGCCUGAGAGAGGUGGGCAGGGAGGACACACACGGGUUUUAUUCUAGUCCCCAAGGGUCGGGCAGGGUACAGCUCUGAAGUCUUGGUGACAGAAAUCAAAAGAAACUGCUAUUUGAACAAAUCAGGAUUAUUAGAAACCAAUAAGGAGAAAUCUUUAUUAUAUAUAAAAUGAAAAGUAUUUAAUACAUAUUUAUGUAAAUGACUUGUGAGCACAAGCCUGAGGGCAAGAUUGACACGGGUGUCCCUGUCGCAUCCUGAGUGCAGGCCAGGGCUGUGCCUCCUGCGCCUCCUGUAUUUAUGGACAAGUCUGCGUGUUUGUCUGUAGCUAGGAUCUGUGUUUUUGUGAAGCUGUGCC
This is a long non-coding RNA of Buteo japonicus, 2153 nucleotides long. The record is from Ensembl. Lineage: Eukaryota; Metazoa; Chordata; Aves; Accipitriformes; Accipitridae.